This is a long non-coding RNA of Bombus impatiens (common eastern bumble bee), 891 nucleotides long. RefSeq lists it as uncharacterized. The transcript is spliced from 4 exons. The record is from RefSeq and is a predicted model, not a curated record. NCBI's taxonomy places the organism in Eukaryota, Metazoa, Arthropoda, Insecta, Hymenoptera, Apidae.
AGUAAAGAGAGGUAGGGGGAUCCACUCUCGCAGGGCGCUACUGUGCGCAUGUACGGCUUUUGUACCACGUGCAGCUUCUAUAUUCCAUGCUUAGCGUGUGUCGCUGUAUCCUACGGUCGUUUUUUCUUGUAACUGUUUGGUUAGAAUUAUGUUAUUGAAGAUUGCAUUAUGAGAAUGGUGUAAACAUCUCAAACAGCAGAGUGGUAGUAUAUAAUUCGUAUAAUCAGAGAUGAAAUAAGGCGGCAUUGGCGUCACGCGUUUGAAAAAUACUUAUCUACUUCGUUUGUCCCAGUAUUUGAGGGGUAAUGCGAGAAUACUAACAGGGUGGUAUCGAAUCGAUUAAAUUACUACGAGAAAUCGGCGAUGAUGUUCGAUCGUGUAUUCGGGCCAUGAAUUCGAUUAGGCAUUGCGUGGCCCACGACGCGGAUAGUCUGUUUACCGUGUCGAUUUAGGAACUUGAUAUCCUCGACGUGCAGCGUGGUAAGUCCGUAGAUUCGUACGCGUAUCACAGGGCAACGCGUUAUAGAAUUUCCUCGUUCCAUAUCGAAUUUAGCUGUCCCUUUCAGCGCGUCAUUUGUCUUGGUAUGUCUAUCCACGAACCCUCGUAAUAACUUCAAGCUUCGUUUCACUCGAGUCGUGCAAACAUUGCGAUCGACUAGUAACUAGCAUUGUGAUACAGUUAUCGAGAUUACUAUACACGAGUACACGUGGAUGUUAGUCUUUGAAAUAUGUAAGAUAUUUAUAACGAAAAGUAAACGUAUCAUUUAAAUUAAAUUAAAAUAAAUUAUCGCAAAGGGAGCGUUGACAGUACUGGUUGGCACUGAUACUUGAACACGAAGAAGACAGAAAUCUUGUGUAUUUUGAUGUUUGUAGUAAAAUAGUAAAAGCUGU